RNAcentral lists this ribosomal RNA (338 nucleotides) under Listeria monocytogenes. Its description in RNAcentral is "bacterial LSU rRNA". It matches the Rfam family "Bacterial large subunit ribosomal RNA", at positions 1 to 331 of the family's 2925-position model. Lineage: Bacteria; Bacillati; Bacillota; Bacilli; Caryophanales; Listeriaceae. The record is from RNAcentral.
AGUAAAUUGGUUAAGUUAGAAAGGGCGCACGGUGGAUGCCUUGGCACUAGGAGCCGAAGAAGGACGGGACUAACACCGAUAUGCUUUGGGGAGCUGUACGUAAGCGUUGAUCCAGAGAUUUCCGAAUGGGGGAACCCACUAUCUUUAGUCGGAUAGUAUCCUUACGUGAAUACAUAGCGUGAGGAAGGCAGACCCAGGGAACUGAAACAUCUAAGUACCUGGAGGAAGAGAAAGAAAAAUCGAUUUCCUGAGUAGCGGCGAGCGAAACGGAAAGAGCCCAAACCAAGAAGCUUGCUUCUUGGGGUUGUAGGACACUCUAUACGGAGUUACAAAAGAAA